UAGAGUUUGAUCCUGGCUCAGGACGAACGCUGGCGGCGUGCCUAACACAUGCAAGUCGAGCGAAGUAUAUUUAAGUGAAGUUUUCGGACGGAACUUAAAUAUAUCUUAGCGGCGGACGGGUGAGUAACGCGUGAGCAACCUGCCUUUCACAAAGGGAUAGCCUCGGGAAACUGGGAUUAAUACCAUAUGAUACUUAACUUUCGCAUGAAAGAUAAGUUAAAGCGAAAAAGCGGUGAAAGAUGGGCUCGCGUCCUAUUAGCUAGUUGGUGAGGUAACGGCUCACCAAGGCGACGAUAGGUAGCCGGCCUGAGAGGGUGAACGGCCACACUGGAACUGAGACACGGUCCAGACUCCUACGGGAGGCAGCAGUGGGGGAUAUUGCACAAUGGAGGAAACUCUGAUGCAGCGACGCCGCGUGAGUGAAGAAGGCCUUCGGGUCGUAAAGCUCUGUCCUAGGGGAAGAUAAUGACGGUACCCUAGGAGGAAGCCCCGGCUAACUACGUGCCAGCCGCCGC
Molecule: ribosomal RNA, 515 nt
Filed under: uncultured bacterium
Lineage: Bacteria
Description: bacterial SSU rRNA
Rfam family: Bacterial small subunit ribosomal RNA
Source: RNAcentral